GCUGACGUAGCUCAGACGGUAGAGCGCAUCCUUGGUAAGGAUGAGGUCGGCAGUUCAAGUCUGCUCGUCAGCUCCA
RNAcentral lists this transfer RNA (76 nucleotides) under Mogibacterium sp. RNAcentral describes it as "tRNA-Thr". It matches the Rfam family "tRNA". From Rfam's summary of the family: Transfer RNA (tRNA) molecules are approximately 80 nucleotides in length. Their secondary structure includes four short double-helical elements and three loops (D, anti-codon, and T loops). The record is from RNAcentral. Lineage: Bacteria; Bacillati; Bacillota; Clostridia; Peptostreptococcales; Anaerovoracaceae. RNAcentral also lists the same sequence under 1 other name.